Molecule: ribosomal RNA, 253 nt
Filed under: uncultured bacterium
Lineage: Bacteria
Description: partial 16S ribosomal RNA
Rfam family: Bacterial small subunit ribosomal RNA
Source: RNAcentral
UACGAAGGGGGUUAGCGUUGCUCGGAAUCACUGGGCGUAAAGCGCACGUAGGCGGAUUGCUAAGUCAGGGGUGAAAUCCUGGAGCUCAACUCCAGAACUGCCCUUGAUACUGGCGACCUUGAGUCCGGGAGAGGUGAGUGGAACUGCGAGUGUAGAGGUGAAAAUCGUAGAUAUUCGAAAGAACACCAGUGGAGACGGCGGCUCACUGGCCCGGUACUGACGCUGAGGAUCGAAAACGUGGGGAGCAAACAGG